GAAGAAGGCGGGCGGCGUGCUUAACACAUGCAAGUCGAACGGAAAGGCCCUGCUUUUGUGGGGUGCUCGAGUGGCGAACGGGUGAGUAACACGUGAGUAACCUGCCCUUGACUUUGGGAUAACUUCAGGAAACUGGGGCUAAUACCGGAUAGGAGCUCCUGCUGCAUGGUGGGGGUUGGAAAGUUUCGGCGGUUGGGGAUGGACUCGCGGCUUAUCAGCUUGUUGGUGGGGUAGUGGCUUACCAAGGCUUUGACGGGUAGCCGGCCUGAGAGGGUGACCGGCCACAUUGGGACUGAGAUACGGCCCAGACUCCUACGGGAGGCAGCAGUGGGGAAUAUUGCACAAUGGGCGGAAGCCUGAUGCAGCAACGCCGCGUGCGGGAUGACGGCCUUCGGGUUGUAAACCGCUUUCGCCUGUGACAAAGCGUGAGUGACGGUAAUGGGUAAAGAAGCACCGGCUAACUACGUG
This 468-nucleotide ribosomal RNA is filed under the name uncultured bacterium. RNAcentral describes it as "partial 16S ribosomal RNA". It matches the Rfam family "Bacterial small subunit ribosomal RNA", at positions 31 to 507 of the family's 1533-position model. The record is from RNAcentral.